This 444-nucleotide ribosomal RNA is filed under the name uncultured bacterium. RNAcentral's name for it is "partial 16S ribosomal RNA". It matches the Rfam family "Bacterial small subunit ribosomal RNA", at positions 339 to 795 of the family's 1533-position model. The record is from RNAcentral.
CUACGGGGGGCAGCAGUGGGGAAUAUUGCACAAUGGGCGCAAGCCUGAUGCAGCAACGCCGCGUGAGGGAUGAAGGCCUUCGGGUUGUAAACCUCUUUUAGCAGGGAAGAAGCGAAAGUGACGGUACCUGCAGAAAAAGCACCGGCUAACUACGUGCCAGCAGCCGCGGUAAUACGUAGGGUGCAAGCGUUGUCCGGAAUUAUUGGGCGUAAAGAGCUCGUAGGCGGUUUGUCACGUCUGCUGUGAAAAUCCAAGGCUCAACCUUGGACUUGCAGUGGGUACAGGCAGGCUAGAGUGCGGUAGGGGAGAUGGGAAUUCCUGGUGUAGCGGUGGAAUGCGCAGAUAUCAGAAGGAACACCAAUGGCGAAGGCACAUCUCUGGGCCGUAACUGACGCUGAGGAGCGAAAGCGUGGGGAGCGAACAGGAUUAGAUACCCUAGUAGUC